GUGGGGAAUCUUCCGCAAUGGACGAAAGUCUGACGGAGCGACGCCGCGUGAGUGAAGAAGGCCUUCGGGUCGUAAAGCUCUGUCAUCAGGGACGAACGGCCGGUGGAGUGGAAAGCCACCGGAUUGACGGUACCUGAGAAGGAAGCCACGGCUAACUACGUGCCAGCAGCCGCGUAAUACGUAGGUGGCAAGCGUUGUCCGGAAUUAUUGGGCGUAAAGCGCGCGCAGGUGGGAUCUUAAGUCCAUUUUUAAAGUUCGGAGCUCAACUCCGUGAUGGGAUGGAAACUGGGAUUCUUGAGUACCGGAGAGGAAAGCGGAAUUCCCCGUGUAGCGGUGAAAUGCGUAGAUAUGGGGAGGAACACCAGUGGCGAAGGCGGCUUUCUGGACGGUGUCUGACACUGAGGCGCGAAAGCCAGGGGAGCGAACGGGAUUAGAUACCCUUGUAGUC
This 448-nucleotide ribosomal RNA is filed under the name uncultured bacterium. RNAcentral's name for it is "partial 16S ribosomal RNA". It matches the Rfam family "Bacterial small subunit ribosomal RNA", at positions 354 to 795 of the family's 1533-position model. The record is from RNAcentral.